GGGUUGUGAGGUUAAGCGACUAAGCGUACACGGUGGAUGCCCUGGCAGUCAGAGGCGAUGAAGGACGUGCUAAUCUGCGAUAAGCGUCGGUAAGGUGAUAUGAACCGUUAUAACCGGCGAUUUCCGAAUGGGGAAACCCAGUGUGUUUCGACACACUAUCAUUAACUGAAUCCAUAGGUUAAUGAGGCGAACCGGGGGAACUGAAACAUCUAAGUACCCCGAGGAAAAGAAAUCAACCGAGAUUCCCCCAGUAGCGGCGAGCGAACGGGGAGCAGCCCAGAGCCUGAAUCAGUGUGUGUGUUAGUGGAAGCGUCUGGAAAGGCGCGCGAUACAGGGUGACAGCCCCGUACACAAAAAUGCACAUGCUGUGAGCUCGAUGAGUAGGGCGGGACACGUGGUAUCCUGUCUGAAUAUGGGGGGACCAUCCUCCAAGGCUAAAUACUCCUGACUGACCGAUAGUGAACCAGUACCGUGAGGGAAAGGCGAAAAGAACCCCGGCGAGGGGAGUGAAAAAGAACCUGAAACCGUGUACGUACAAGCAGUGGGAGCACGCUUAGGCGUGUGACUGCGUACCUUUUGUAUAAUGGGUCAGCGACUUAUAUUCUGUAGCAAGGUUAACCGAAUAGGGGAGCCGAAGGGAAACCGAGUCUUAACUGGGCGUUAAGUUGCAGGGUAUAGACCCGAAACCCGGUGAUCUAGCCAUGGGCAGGUUGAAGGUUGGGUAACACUAACUGGAGGACCGAACCGACUAAUGUUGAAAAAUUAGCGGAUGACUUGUGGCUGGGGGUGAAAGGCCAAUCAAACCGGGAGAUAGCUGGUUCUCCCCGAAAGCUAUUUAGGUAGCGCCUCGUGAAUUCAUCUCCGGGGGUAGAGCACUGUUUCGGCAAGGGGGUCAUCCCGACUUACCAACCCGAUGCAAACUGCGAAUACCGGAGAAUGUUAUCACGGGAGACACACGGCGGGUGCUAACGUCCGUCGUGAAGAGGGAAACAACCCAGACCGCCAGCUAAGGUCCCAAAGUCAUGGUUAAGUGGGAAACGAUGUGGGAAGGCCCAGACAGCCAGGAUGUUGGCUUAGAAGCAGCCAUCAUUUAAAGAAAGCGUAAUAGCUCACUGGUCGAGUCGGCCUGCGCGGAAGAUGUAACGGGGCUAAACCAUGCACCGAAGCUGCGGCAGCGACGCUUAUGCGUUGUUGGGUAGGGGAGCGUUCUGUAAGCCUGUGAAGGUGUGCUGUGAGGCAUGCUGGAGGUAUCAGAAGUGCGAAUGCUGACAUAAGUAACGAUAAAGCGGGUGAAAAGCCCGCUCGCCGGAAGACCAAGGGUUCCUGUCCAACGUUAAUCGGGGCAGGGUGAGUCGACCCCUAAGGCGAGGCCGAAAGGCGUAGUCGAUGGGAAACAGGUUAAUAUUCCUGUACUUGGUGUUACUGCGAAGGGGGGACGGAGAAGGCUAUGUUGGCCGGGCGACGGUUGUCCCGGUUUAAGCGUGUAGGCUGGUUUUCCAGGCAAAUCCGGAAAAUCAAGGCUGAGGCGUGAUGACGAGGCACUACGGUGCUGAAGCAACAAAUGCCCUGCUUCCAGGAAAAGCCUCUAAGCAUCAGGUAACAUCAAAUCGUACCCCAAACCGACACAGGUGGUCAGGUAGAGAAUACCAAGGCGCUUGAGAGAACUCGGGUGAAGGAACUAGGCAAAAUGGUGCCGUAACUUCGGGAGAAGGCACGCUGAUAUGUAGGUGAAGCGACUUGCUCGUGGAGCUGAAAUCAGUCGAAGAUACCAGCUGGCUGCAACUGUUUAUUAAAAACACAGCACUGUGCAAACACGAAAGUGGACGUAUACGGUGUGACGCCUGCCCGGUGCCGGAAGGUUAAUUGAUGGGGUCAGCGCAAGCGAAGCUCUUGAUCGAAGCCCCGGUAAACGGCGGCCGUAACUAUAACGGUCCUAAGGUAGCGAAAUUCCUUGUCGGGUAAGUUCCGACCUGCACGAAUGGCGUAAUGAUGGCCAGGCUGUCUCCACCCGAGACUCAGUGAAAUUGAACUCGCUGUGAAGAUGCAGUGUACCCGCGGCAAGACGGAAAGACCCCGUGAACCUUUACUAUAGCUUGACACUGAACAUUGAGCCUUGAUGUGUAGGAUAGGUGGGAGGCUUUGAAGUGUGGACGCCAGUCUGCAUGGAGCCGACCUUGAAAUACCACCCUUUAAUGUUUGAUGUUCUAACGUUGACCCGUAAUCCGGGUUGCGGACAGUGUCUGGUGGGUAGUUUGACUGGGGCGGUCUCCUCCUAAAGAGUAACGGAGGAGCACGAAGGUUGGCUAAUCCUGGUCGGACAUCAGGAGGUUAGUGCAAUGGCAUAAGCCAGCUUGACUGCGAGCGUGACGGCGCGAGCAGGUGCGAAAGCAGGUCAUAGUGAUCCGGUGGUUCUGAAUGGAAGGGCCAUCGCUCAACGGAUAAAAGGUACUCCGGGGAUAACAGGCUGAUACCGCCCAAGAGUUCAUAUCGACGGCGGUGUUUGGCACCUCGAUGUCGGCUCAUCACAUCCUGGGGCUGAAGUAGGUCCCAAGGGUAUGGCUGUUCGCCAUUUAAAGUGGUACGCGAGCUGGGUUUAGAACGUCGUGAGACAGUUCGGUCCCUAUCUGCCGUGGGCGCUGGAGAACUGAGGGGGGCUGCUCCUAGUACGAGAGGACCGGAGUGGACGCAUCACUGGUGUUCGGGUUGUCAUGCCAAUGGCACUGCCCGGUAGCUAAAUGCGGAAGAGAUAAGUGCUGAAAGCAUCUAAGCACGAAACUUGCCCCGAGAUGAGUUCUCCCUGACUCCUUGAGAGUCCUGAAGGAACGUUGAAGACGACGACGUUGAUAGGCCGGGUGUGUAAGCGCAGCGAUGCGUUGAGCUAACCGGUACUAAUGAACCGUGAGGCUUAACCUUACAACGCCGAAGGUGUUU
This 2931-nucleotide ribosomal RNA is filed under the name Escherichia coli. RNAcentral describes it as "23S ribosomal RNA". It matches the Rfam family "Bacterial large subunit ribosomal RNA". Lineage: Bacteria; Pseudomonadati; Pseudomonadota; Gammaproteobacteria; Enterobacterales; Enterobacteriaceae. The record is from RNAcentral.